This is a long non-coding RNA of Falco peregrinus (peregrine falcon), 3165 nucleotides long. RefSeq lists it as uncharacterized. The record is from RefSeq and is a predicted model, not a curated record. NCBI's taxonomy places the organism in Eukaryota, Metazoa, Chordata, Aves, Falconiformes, Falconidae. The transcript is spliced from 2 exons.
AUGAAAAUUGCUUAUGCCAGGGAGAGAAGGGCAGGCUACCACAUCCCACACUUCGACUGGUAUAAGCGGUAAUGGAUUCACACCCAACAGGACAAGCAAUUCAUUAACAAGAAGAAGGAAAACCAGAAAACUUGGACCUCUUGUUUUUCAGUUAAAUGUAUUUACACUAUGCUACUUGACCCAGGAUAAAUGUGCAUCCCACUGGCAGCAUCAUGAGCAUGUGGCUAAGUAUCCCGCUGCCUUCCCCUCAGAUAAGGUGGCAUGGGUGGGUAUCUAUGGUGAUGCAUCUCACCCCUCCCGUGGGCUGCUCUGCUAUCUCAGGAAUCCCUGUUUAGGCCUCAGCCCCUCUGUAAUGAGUUAGCACUCAAGUGUCCCUCGAUCAUACUGGCAUCUCUUGCAUGGAUGAGGUGCGGAACGGCACUGGCUGUACCAGAAACAUUUCUUACCUGAACAGCACUACUGCCUGAUGGCCUUGAUCAUCCUUUAACAAGCCCGGGGACAUUCUUUAUUAUGGUUCCAAGUAGUAAAAUACCACUGUCAAUGGAAAUUUUUUUAAAAAUGUAAUUUAUUACUGACUCAGAAUGUGGCCAGGAUGGAAGAUUACUGAUGACUGAAGUCUCCAAACAAAUAAACAGCAGUCCUAAGUGAGGCACUUUGAGCUCUCCUGGACUGCAGGACAGGGACACUUCUCAGAGUUCUCAAGCUCCCAAGUCUGUGAUCCUAAGGGGGUCCAUUGCCAAAAGCUGAUGGCAGGGCUUGGGCUGAUAUUCACAGAGAAUCAUAGAAUGGUCAGGGUGGGAAGGGACCUCUGGAGAUCAUCUAUUUCAUUCAUGCCUUUGAUGGUGAUUCUUUAAGCAACUUAACCUAAACCACUCGUUCGUGGCAGCAUCUCACUGCUGUGCCUGUGGCACGGGAUGGGUACUGUGGCACCUGGUGGCGCUGAGUGUUUGGGAUAUUUGAUCCUUGCAUUACGAACGUUCAUAUUAUGCCAUUGCUGGAGUUUCUGCCGUAAGCAGACAUGGCUGAAAAACAUGCCAGUUUGCUGUGCACUGUUAGGAUGAGACCUGUAAGGGGUGCUGUAAUGGCAGAAUGUGCAUUAUGCAGAGGAUUUUUAUAUGAGGGCAGAAAUGUGUUGCAUUUUAAUCUGUUGCUUAGUUCACAGCUUUUGAGGCCCAUGAAAAUGGACUAAACUAAACAAAUUGUGACUAUUCUGCUACUAUGAGUAACUGGAGAGAAGGCUGCAGGUUCUUUGGGUGACACCUCCAACUGAUAAAAGAAAAAACUGCUCCAAGACCUAUGUAGAACACAGACACCAUCGGCAUGCUGCUGGCAGUAGUGAGCCGGACCGAUGGCUCACCGUGCCGCGAAGGAAAUGAAAGGAGAGCCCUCAAACAAGAAGACUGUUGUCAACCUGUUACAGAUGGGCAACUGCACCAAAGGCUGGAAAUGGCCCCAGGAUUUCUGUGGUGGAACUGAAAAUCAGCCCCCGCAUCAGUCCAGCUCCGUCACUGCAAAGCCCUUCCCCACCCUCCACCUUUUUGUGGUUGCACUGUGAGCUCUGUAAGGCAUCCUGUAAAAAAGCAGGUCUGCCCUCACAGAUCGUCAUUGAGAGAGGGAAAAAAAAAGAACGUGCUGUGGGUCUGCUACAGCCUUCAUAUGUCGCUUGUAGAAAGCAACCCCUUUUCUGAACCCAGGAACGCACAGCUAGUAGUGUAAGUGGGUGAAAAGCAUGACCCAGUUGCAUUUGAAAGCCACUCUCUGUGUUGUAAAGCACAUUAGGGAAUAACUUGAGGUCAUGGGCUAGAGACCAAAGCAUUGCAAUUUCUUAGACAUAGAAACAGCCCAUUGUCCUUAUCCUAUGUACAGAAAUUACACACUGUACGUGCUUACUAAUGUCAGUCAAAUCUCCAUCCCAUAAUUAGUGCAUACUUAUACUGCCCAGUCCCCUGCUUUCUUUCAAGUGGGUUUCUUGUUAAGCUGUUAUUAUACAUUUUUACCAUACUCAUUAUUAAGGCUUUUGUUUAAAUUGCUGUGGUUUACCUGUGUAUUUUUGUCACACAACAGCUGACACUCACCUGCUGUUGCCACAGGUAUGUCCUGUUCCACCAAAACCCCAGGUUUCUCUACUAUCAUUAUGAGUCUUCCCAAAACAAUCAGGGAGCUUCUAUCAAGUCAGAGGCAAUGGAGAACUCUAGUCCCAUCGUUUUCUGUCUCAAUGCCUUCUUGCUGAUGGCUGCUCUAUGUUUUUUAUUUUCCAGGUUAGUCUUUUUUUGCCUGUGAGACAUUCACAUUAUUAACUAAAGCAGAAGGAAUGUUCAAUAUGGAAAGAAGCUCAUUCUUUACAUUUUCAAAACAUUUUUGUAAGAGCUCUGUCUCGCAAGCAAACAUGGAAGAAAUCAGAAGCUUUUCUGUAUUGUAGUUCAUAUUCUGUCUGAUCUACACACAGAGAGCACUGUCAACCUCAUUUGUCCUUCCAUGAGAAAAAGAGACUGGAACUGCUUCAUUUGUGUAGUAAGGUGUAAUGAGUGCUGAAAAUGAGACUUCUCGGACUCCCUGGAGCUGUAUCAGACAAGAGGAAUCUGGAAAGCAAAUUAAAUUAAAAUCCACAGGAAUUUCAUACAAAGCAGAGUUGUGUGGUGACAACUCUGAAAAUGCAUAGACUGGAUUCUCAAGGUUAUUUCAGGCCUCUGGUGAAGGAGCAUAGGAUUUUCAAAAGCACCUUGGGGGCUGAUCUUCAUAUGCCUUUUCCUGUGUGACUGCUAACUGUUGGUUGCAGUCUAGUAACAAAUCUCUCAAGGGAAGGGCCAGCAGGAAGUGAUUUCUGCUCUGAUAUGCUCAGGUGUGGAUGUGAAAUAGCUUUGUGACACCCAUAGUGACAGGAUUUGUCUGCAGUGUUUUCUGCAGCAUCAUGCACAUGUGAGGGAAAAGUGGCUGCCGAACAUGACAGCUUGAGGUCUUGGUCAGGAGAAAACUAACAGGUACCUCUGUCAGGUUGUUAGUGGCUCCAGAUGGGGCAAGAAGAAAAUUGAGAGCUCUUCCUGGGUAAUACCAUCUUUCUGUAGGAGUUGUAAGCUGGUAUCUCUUUUGCAUUUCAUCAGUACACAUUCUUAUUCACUCAGAUUGUAACUCUGACUUGAAACUAGGCAUUUUGCCUUUUUUUUUUUU